Molecule: transfer-messenger RNA, 207 nt
Filed under: mine drainage metagenome
Description: transfer-messenger RNA Acidi_ferri_SS3
Rfam family: transfer-messenger RNA
About the family: Bacterial tmRNA, also known as 10Sa RNA or SsrA, is named for its dual tRNA and mRNA-like properties. Its role is to liberate the mRNA from a stalled ribosome.
Source: RNAcentral
GGGGGCGACCGGCUUCGACGCAGGUCGCGAAGCCUUCGGUGCAUGCAGAGCUGCGGUUCGCUCUUAAAACUGGUCGCAGAUUCAUAAUUGCCAACGACAGCAAUUACGCCCUCGCUGCUUAAGCAGUGAGCCCUCUGCCCGGAUUUGUCUGUGGAUCCGGAGCCGAAAGGCGCGCGGAGGGUCAUAAAACACGGAAUCGUGCAUAUU